RNAcentral lists this non-coding RNA (27 nucleotides) under Cricetulus griseus (Chinese hamster). Lineage: Eukaryota; Metazoa; Chordata; Mammalia; Rodentia; Cricetidae. The record is from RNAcentral.
GGGGCUGGAGUGAUGGCUCAGAGGUUA